UAACAAAUGUAAGACUAGGCUCAUGUUGC
This 29-nucleotide non-coding RNA is filed under the name Mus musculus (house mouse). Lineage: Eukaryota; Metazoa; Chordata; Mammalia; Rodentia; Muridae. The record is from RNAcentral.